AAAUUGAAGAGUUUGAUCAUGGCUCAGAUUGAACGCUGGCGGCAGGCCUAACACAUGCAAGUCGAGCGGUAGCACAGAGAGCUUGCUCUCGGGUGACGAGCGGCGGACGGGUGAGUAAUGUCUGGGAAACUGCCUGAUGGAGGGGGAUAACUACUGGAAACGGUAGCUAAUACCGCAUAACGUCGCAAGACCAAAGUGGGGGACCUUCGGGCCUCAUGCCAUCAGAUGUGCCCAGAUGGGAUUAGCUAGUAGGUGGGGUAACGGCUCACCUAGGCGACGAUCCCUAGCUGGUCUGAGAGGAUGACCAGCCACACUGGAACUGAGACACGGUCCAGACUCCUACGGGAGGCAGCAGUGGGGAAUAUUGCACAAU
Molecule: ribosomal RNA, 373 nt
Filed under: Klebsiella pneumoniae
Lineage: Bacteria; Pseudomonadati; Pseudomonadota; Gammaproteobacteria; Enterobacterales; Enterobacteriaceae
Also listed under: 2 other names
Description: bacterial SSU rRNA
Rfam family: Bacterial small subunit ribosomal RNA
Source: RNAcentral